This 475-nucleotide ribosomal RNA is filed under the name uncultured bacterium. Its description in RNAcentral is "bacterial SSU rRNA". It matches the Rfam family "Bacterial small subunit ribosomal RNA", at positions 30 to 501 of the family's 1533-position model. The record is from RNAcentral.
AUUGAACGCUGGCGGCAUGCCUUACACAUGCAAGUCGAACGGCAGCACGGGAGCAAUCCUGGUGGCGAGUGGCGAACGGGUGAGUAAUAUAUCGGAACGUGCCCAGUCGUGGGGGAUAACGUAGCGAAAGCUACGCUAAUACCGCAUACGAUCUACGGAUGAAAGCGGGGGAUCGCAAGACCUCGCGCGAUUGGAGCGGCCGAUAUCAGAUUAGCUAGUUGGUGGGGUAAAAGCUCACCAAGGCGACGAUCUGUAGCUGGUCUGAGAGGACGACCAGCCACACUGGAACUGAGACACGGUCCAGACUCCUACGGGAGGCAGCAGUGGGGAAUUUUGGACAAUGGGCGCAAGCCUGAUCCAGCAAUGCCGCGUGCAGGAUGAAGGCCUUCGGGUUGUAAAGCUCUUUCGGUUGGGAAGAAUUGCACUGUUAAUACCUAGUGUAGAUGACGGUACCAGCAUAAGAGCACCGGCUAAC